GAUGAACGCUAGCGGCAGGCUUAAUACAUGCAAGUCGAGGGGCAUCAAGGUACACGAAAGUGGGUAUUGGUUGGCGACCGGCGGACGGGUGAGUAAUAUAUCGGAACGUGCCCAGUCGUGGGGGAUAACGUAGCGAAAGCUACGCUAAUAACCGCAUACGAUCUACGGAUGAAAGCGGGGGAUCGCAAGACCUCGCGCGAUUGGAGCGGCCGAUAUCAGAUUAGCUAGUUGGUGGGGUAAAAGGCUCACCAAGGCGACGAUCUGUAGCUGGUCUGAGAGGACGACCAGCCACACUGGAACUGAGACACGGUCCAGACUCCUACGGGAGGCAGCAGUGGGGAAUUUUGGACAAUGGCGCAAGCCUGAUCCAGCAAUGCCGCGUGCAGGAUGAAGGCCUUCGGGUUGUAAACUGCUUUUGUUACGGACGAAACGGUGAGCUCUAUAAAGACUUGCUAAUGACGGUACCGUAAGAAUAAGUCACCGGCUAACUACG
This 493-nucleotide ribosomal RNA is filed under the name uncultured bacterium. RNAcentral describes it as "bacterial SSU rRNA". It matches the Rfam family "Bacterial small subunit ribosomal RNA", at positions 28 to 505 of the family's 1533-position model. The record is from RNAcentral.